AUAACGACUCUCGGCAACGGAUAUCUCGGCUCUCGCAUCGAUGAAGAACGUAGCGAAAUGCGAUACUUGGUGUGAAUUGCAGAAUCCCGUGAACCAUCGAGUCUUUGAACGCAAGUUGCGCCCAAGCCUUUAGGCCGAGGGCACGUCUGCCUGGGUGUCACG
This 162-nucleotide ribosomal RNA is filed under the name Lepisanthes rubiginosa. Its description in RNAcentral is "5.8S ribosomal RNA". It matches the Rfam family "5.8S ribosomal RNA". Rfam says of the family: 5.8S ribosomal RNA (5.8S rRNA) is a component of the large subunit of the eukaryotic ribosome. It is transcribed by RNA polymerase I as part of the 45S precursor that also contains 18S and 28S rRNA. Lineage: Eukaryota; Viridiplantae; Streptophyta; Magnoliopsida; Sapindales; Sapindaceae. The record is from RNAcentral.